This 514-nucleotide ribosomal RNA is filed under the name uncultured Glomeromycotina. RNAcentral's name for it is "SSU rRNA". It matches the Rfam family "Eukaryotic small subunit ribosomal RNA", at positions 548 to 1066 of the family's 1831-position model. Lineage: Eukaryota; Fungi; Glomeromycota. The record is from RNAcentral.
UUGGAGGGCAAGUCUGGUGCCAGCAGCCGCGGUAAUUCCAGCUCCAAUAGCGUAUAUUAAAGUUGUUGCAGUUAAAAAGCUCGUAGUUGAAUUUCGGGAUCAAUAUGCUGGUCGUGCCAUUGGUACGUACUAGUAUUAUUGGUUUCUUCCUUCUGAUGAAUCAUGAUGUCAUUAAGUUGAUGUCAUGGGGAAUCAGGACUGUUACUUUGAAAAAAUUAGAGUGUUUAAAGCAGGCUCGCGCUUGAAUACAUUAGCAUGGAAUAAUGAAAUAGGACGUUUAAUUCUAUUUUGUUGGUUUCUAGGAUUGACGUAAUGAUUAAUAGGGAUAGUUGGGGGCAUUAGUAUUCAAUUGUCAGAGGUGAAAUUCUUGGAUUUAUUGAAGACUAACUACUGCGAAAGCAUUUGCCAAGGAUGUUUUCAUUAAUCAAGAACGAAAGUUAGGGGAUCGAAGACGAUCAGAUACCGUCGUAGUCUUAACCAUAAACUAUGCCGACUAGGGGAUCGGGAUGAUGUU